UUUUUUUUUCAGAUAAAGGAGGCUCCAAGCCCCGCCCGGAGCCCAACAUUGGGCUUGAACUCAGAUCAAGAACUGAGCUGAGAUCAAGAGUUGGACACUUCACCUACUGAGCCACCCAGAACAACCCGAAGGAUGAGAAGAAGACAGCCAGCCUGAGAAAGGGCCAAAGAGCCUGAGAAGUAGUUUUUGAAGUAAAUGGAGAAAGUGCAGAGAUCUGAGGGUAAUCUGUGAAACUGUUCUUCCUAUCAGGACCAAAAUGGCUAACAAGAAAUGUGGUUUUAAUGGCUCUUCCUGGAUUCUGACUCCAUUUGCCAAUCCGUGCCCUGCCUCUUGAAGAAAUUCUGGGCUGAAGGAUUGUGUCUCAAGGCAUCAUCCAGGAAGUGUGAAGAUGAUGAGACCUACAGUAAUUCCAGUGUGUGAUUCAGGUCAGAUGCCCUCGAGAAAAUCUUGAACUUUAGAAUUCUUAAAGCCUUUUUGUUUUCAUAGAACAUCAUAUAUUCUUUUCAAUUAUUUAUGCAAAAGAGAAAAAGAAUGCUAAUAUUCUCUAUUGAUAUUAGAAAAACAGUAAAAUCAUUUUAAACCUACAAUUUCCAGGAAUAUCAGCUCUUCUCUGCACAGCAUCAGAUAAUAAGUAUUUUAUUACAUGGUAUUUUCAAGGUAUGUGUAU
Molecule: long non-coding RNA, 667 nt
Organism: Panthera uncia (snow leopard)
Lineage: Eukaryota; Metazoa; Chordata; Mammalia; Carnivora; Felidae
Exons: 3
Source: RefSeq, a predicted model, not a curated record